This 508-nucleotide ribosomal RNA is filed under the name uncultured bacterium. RNAcentral describes it as "partial 16S ribosomal RNA". It matches the Rfam family "Bacterial small subunit ribosomal RNA", at positions 28 to 523 of the family's 1533-position model. The record is from RNAcentral.
GAUGAACGCUAGCUACAGGCUUAACACAUGCAAGUCGAGGGGAAACGAUAGAGAAAGCUUGCUUUUUCUAGGCGUCGACCGGCGCACGGGUGAGUAACGCGUAUCCAACCUGCCCACCACUUGGGGAUAACCUUGCGAAAGUAAGACUAAUACCCAAUGAUAUCACAAGAAGACAUCUGAAUGAGAUUAAAGAUUUAUCGGUGAUGGAUGGGGAUGCGUCUGAUUAGCUUGUUGGCGGGGUAACGGCCCACCAAGGCGACGAUCAGUAGGGGUUCUGAGAGGAAGGUCCCCCACAUUGGAACUGAGACACGGUCCAAACUCCUACGGGAGGCAGCAGUGAGGAAUAUUGGUCAAUGGGCGAGAGCCUGAACCAGCCAAGCAGCGUGCAGGAUGACGGCCCUAUGGGUUGUAAACUGCUUUUAUAAGGGAAUAAAGUGAGUCUCGUGAGACUUUUUGCAUGUACCUUAUGAAUAAGGACCGGCUAAUUCCGUGCCAGCCGCCGCUGUAA